GUACUGUGCGAGAGGGUGGAGGGGAGCCUGAAUACAGAAGAGGUACUCACUGGUCUCAGGAUAAACUCCCCCACAGGCAUCCCAGAGUGUGGAGCUGAUGCCCUUCGGUCCACCCUAUGCUCCACCAGCUUCAGGAGUCAGUGUGGCAUAGAUAGAUGUGGAUGACUGUGGUGUCUUGUUUUGUGUGGAGUUACAAGGUUGGUGUAUGGAUGGAACCGUCACCCCAAACAAUGAGUGGUGGAGGGUGCGUUCUGCGUUGACAGCCAGCAUGAGCGGUGACAGGAGCCAUGGGUGCCUUGCCUCCUCGCACCACCACCACAAGCACCACCACUCCUGCCAUCACCUACAAGGGGGAGACUGUGAUGUGGCUGCAGGUGGAUAGGUUCGGAGGCCUCCAGAGAGCUGCCCAGAGUGAAGCUUGUGGUAUAGAGGGACAGCCGCUGAUUAUCAAGCUUAUGGAGUGACUGGAAGAAAGUGGGAGGAGCCUGGAGGGAGUGGUGGAGGUACAGUACUUGGAGAAAAUCCCUCCGCCAUGAUGACUGGGUGUCUGCUGUACAGGCCACUGACCAAUGAGCGGCAGUGGAUCUGUACAUGAGUGAGGUGGCGAGGGGCGUGGCCAGGGGGCGGCUAGCAGCAUGUGCCACCAGGGAAAUGUGUAUGAACAUAAAAAAAGGUGCCUGUUAAGAAAGGUUCGUUCGGUGCAAGGAGUUGGCACAGGAGGUGUCUGAGGCUGUGCAGAGCGGCCGUCUGAACCUGGUGCCACAGCUGCACAGGAGGGCAUGGCAUAGCUGGCUGGACAACAUCACAGACUGGUGUGUCUCCCAGCAACUCUGGUGGGGCCACAGAAUGCCAGUGUACCACAUCACUGCAGCAGACGGCCGGGAGGUGUGGGUGGCAGCUGCUCGGAGGAAGAUGCAAGGCGGACGGCUGUGCAGAAGGAAGACUGUGCUGCUGCAUGGCCUCCUGUGUGAUGGUGGCGGCCACAAGACAUCCAAGUCCUGGGGCAAUGUGAUAAACCCCCUGGAUGUGAUCAGUGGGGCGUCCCUGGAGGUACUUUGUGAGAGGAUGGAGGGGAGCCUGAAUACAGAAGAGGUACUCACUGGUAUCAGGAGGAACUUCCCCACAGGCAUCCCAGAGUGUGGAGCUGAUGCCCUUUGGUUCACCCUGUGCUCCACCAACUUCAAUACUGCACACCCCGUCCUGCAGCCUCAAGGCACUCACCUCUCCUUUUCCAGUCAUGGGUGCCUGCCUCCUCCUUGCAACACCACCACCACCACCACCACCACUGCUGCCAUUACCUACGAGGGGGAGAGACUGUGAUGUGGCUGCAGGUGGCUAGGUUCGGAGGCCUCCAGAGAGCUGCCCAGAGUGAAGCUUGUGGUAUAGAGGGACAGCUGCUGAUCAUCAAGCUUACAUAGUGACUGGAGGAAAGUGGGAGGAGCCUGGAGGGAGUGAUGGAGAGGGGCAAUGGAUCUGUACAUGCGUGAGGUGGCGAGGGGCGUGGCCAGGGGGCGGCUAGCAGCGUGUGCCACCAGGGAAAAGUGUAUGAACAUAAAAAAAGGCGCCUGUCAAGAAAGGUGAGGCCGGCUGCAGCUUUUUAUUUUCAUUUAUUUGUUUCCAUCAGGUUAGGUUUAUAUUAAUUCAGUUAGGUUAAGUUAGGUUAAGUCUCUCUCUCUCUCUCUCUCUCUCUCUCUCUCUCUCUCUCUCUCUCUCUCUCUCUCUCUCUCUCUCUCUCUCUCUCUGUUUAUUUAACUUUCUGUUUAACCAUUUAUCGAUCUAUCUAUCUCAAUCUAUGUAACUAAUUACCUACCUAACAUAACCAUCUCUCUCUCUCUCUCUCUCUCUCUCUCUCUCUCUCUCUCUCUCUCUCUCUCUC
This is an RNA transcript of Scylla paramamosain (green mud crab), 1876 nucleotides long. It is a transcript of the gene named probable valine--tRNA ligase, cytoplasmic, with no coding region annotated. The transcript has 11 exons. NCBI's taxonomy places the organism in Eukaryota, Metazoa, Arthropoda, Malacostraca, Decapoda, Portunidae. The record is from RefSeq and is a predicted model, not a curated record.